Lachnoclostridium sp. An131 is the source of this 133-nucleotide regulatory RNA element. It matches the Rfam family "Glycine riboswitch aptamer". Rfam says of the family: This family represents the bacterial glycine riboswitch. Glycine riboswitches usually consist of two metabolite-binding aptamers domains with similar structures in tandem. The aptamers cooperatively bind glycine to regulate the expression of downstream genes. The record is from Rfam. Lineage: Bacteria; Bacillati; Bacillota; Clostridia; Lachnospirales; Lachnospiraceae.
ACGACAAACUCUGGAGAGUCUCAGUAAAUGAGCGCCGAAGGUGUAACACAGAAGGAGUACGGCUGGUGCCAAAAGAGCAGAAAGCCGGAAGAGCUUCUGUCUAUCUCUCAGGCAAAAGGACAGGGCUGGAAAU